Molecule: ribosomal RNA, 270 nt
Filed under: uncultured prokaryote
Description: partial 16S ribosomal RNA
Rfam family: Bacterial small subunit ribosomal RNA
Source: RNAcentral
GACGUAGGAUGCGAGCGUUGUCCGGAUUUAUUGGGCGUAAAGAGUUCGUAGGCGGUUCGUUAAGUCUGAUGUUAAAGACUGGGGCUCAACCCCGGAAAUGCAUUGGAUACUGGCGGACUGGAGUGCGGUAGAGGUUAGUGGAAUUCCUGGUGUAGCGGUGAAAUGCGUAGAGAUCCGGAAGAACACCGGUGGCGAAGGCGGCCUGCUGGGCAGUGACUCGCAAGAGUCAAUAGCUGACGCUGAGGCGCGACAGCGUGGGGAGCAAACAGG